Molecule: ribosomal RNA, 320 nt
Filed under: uncultured Glomus
Lineage: Eukaryota; Fungi; Glomeromycota; Glomeromycetes; Glomerales; Glomeraceae
Description: SSU rRNA
Rfam family: Eukaryotic small subunit ribosomal RNA
Source: RNAcentral
AGCAGCCGCGGUAAUUCCAGCUCCAAUAGCGUAUAUUAAAGUUGUUGCAGUUAAAAAGCUCGUAGUUGAAUUUCGGGAUCAGUACGCUGGUCGUGCCUUUGGUAUGUACUGGUGUCACUGAUUCCUCCCUUCUGAAGAACCGUUAUGCCUAUUUAUUUGGUGUGGCGGGGAAUCAGGACUGUUACUUUAGAAAAAAUUAGAGUGUUUAAAGCAGGCUCGCGCUUGAAUACAUUAGCAUGGAAUAAUGAAAUAGGACGUUUGAUUCUUAUUUUGUUGGUUUCUAGGAUCGACGUAAUGAUUAAUAGGGAUAGGUUGGGGGC